Non-coding RNA from Megalops atlanticus (tarpon), 72 nucleotides. Lineage: Eukaryota; Metazoa; Chordata; Actinopteri; Elopiformes; Megalopidae. The record is from the annotation of a GenBank genome assembly.
UGCAGUGUAGCGUAGUGGUGAGGAGCAGGGCUCGUAACCGUAAGGUUGUUGGUUCGAUUCUCCCCGGGGCAC